CCUACGGGAGGCAGCAGUGGGGAAUAUUGGGCAAUGGGCGCAAGCCUGACCCAGCAACGCCGCGUGAAGGAAGAAGGCUUUCCGGUUGUAAACUUCUUUUUUCAGGGACGAAGCAAGCGACGGUACCUGACGAAUAAGCCACGGCUAACUACGUGCCAGCAGCCGCGGUAAUACGUAGGUGGCAAGCGUUAUUCGGAUUUAUUGGGUGUAAAGGGAGUGUAGGCGGGAAUGCAAGUCAGAUGUGAAAACUAUGGGCUCAACCCAUAUCCUGCAUUUGGAACUGUAUUUCUUGAGUGCUGGAGAGGCAAUCGGAAUUCCGGGUGUAGCAGUGAAAUGCGUAGAUAUACGGAGGAACACCAGUGGCGAAGGCGGAUUGCUGGACAGUAACUGACGCUGAGGCGCGAAAGCGUGGGGAGCAAACAGGACUAGAUACCCCUGUAGUC
This 443-nucleotide ribosomal RNA is filed under the name uncultured bacterium. RNAcentral's name for it is "partial 16S ribosomal RNA". It matches the Rfam family "Bacterial small subunit ribosomal RNA", at positions 338 to 795 of the family's 1533-position model. The record is from RNAcentral.